Molecule: ribosomal RNA, 418 nt
Filed under: uncultured bacterium
Lineage: Bacteria
Description: bacterial SSU rRNA
Rfam family: Bacterial small subunit ribosomal RNA
Source: RNAcentral
GAUGAACGCUAGCGGCAGGCUUAAUACAUGCAAGUCGUGGGGCAGCAGGUUUGUAGCAAUACAGAUGCUGGCGACCGGCAAACGGGUGCGGAACACGUACAGAACCUUCCUUUGAGCGGGGAAUAGCCCAGAGAAAUUUGGAUUAAUACCCCAUAGUAUAAUGAAGUGGCAUCACUUUAUUAUUAAAGAUUUAUCACUCGAAGAUGGCUGUGCGGCUGAUUAGGUAGUUGGCGGGGUAAAGGCCCACCAAGCCUGCGAUCAGUAACUGGUGUGAGAGCACGACCAGUCACACGGGCACUGAGACACGGGCCCGACUCCUACGGGAGGCAGCAGUAAGGAAUAUUGGUCAAUGGAGGCAACUCUGAACCAGCCAUGCCGCGUGGAGGAUGAAGGUCCUCUGGAUUGUAAACUUCUUUUA